Molecule: ribosomal RNA, 119 nt
Filed under: Pteropus alecto (black flying fox)
Lineage: Eukaryota; Metazoa; Chordata; Mammalia; Chiroptera; Pteropodidae
Source: RNAcentral
CACUACAGCCAUGCCACCCUGAACAAGCCCAAUCCUGUCUGAUCUUGGAAGCUAAGCAGGGUCGGACCUGGUUAGUACUUGGGUGGGAGACCACCUAGGAAGACCAGGUGCUGUAGGUG